Molecule: ribosomal RNA, 488 nt
Filed under: uncultured bacterium
Lineage: Bacteria
Description: partial 16S ribosomal RNA
Rfam family: Bacterial small subunit ribosomal RNA
Source: RNAcentral
GAUGAACGCUAGCGGCAGGCCUAAUACAUGCAAGUCGGACGGGAUCCAUUGAUAGCUUGCUAUCAAUGGUGAGAGUGGCGCACGGGUGCGUAACGCGUGAGCAACCUGCCUCCAUCAGGGGGAUAGCCUCUCGAAAGAGAGAUUAACACCGCAUAAUAUCAACAGUUCGCAUGUUCAGUUGAUUAAAUCUUUAUAGGAUGGAGAUGGGCUCGCGUGACAUUAGCUAGUUGGUAGGGUAACGGCUUACCAAGGCGACGAUGUCUAGGGGCUCUGAGAGGAGAAUCCCCCACACUGGUACUGAGACACGGACCAGACUCCUACGGGAGGCAGCAGUAAGGAAUAUUGGUCAAUGGGCGGAAGCCUGAACCAGCCAUGCCGCGUGCAGGAUGACUGCCCUAUGGGUUGUAAACUGCUUUUGUCCAGGAAUAAACCUAAAUACGAGUAUUUAGCUGAAUGUACUGGAAGAAUAAGGAUCGGCUAACUCCGUG